RNAcentral lists this small nuclear RNA (20 nucleotides) under Arabidopsis thaliana (thale cress). Its description in RNAcentral is "snRNA_06206". Lineage: Eukaryota; Viridiplantae; Streptophyta; Magnoliopsida; Brassicales; Brassicaceae. The record is from RNAcentral.
UUCAAAUGAGAACUUUGAAG